This is a long non-coding RNA of Lynx canadensis (Canada lynx), 2105 nucleotides long. RefSeq lists it as uncharacterized. The transcript has 3 exons. The record is from RefSeq and is a predicted model, not a curated record. NCBI's taxonomy places the organism in Eukaryota, Metazoa, Chordata, Mammalia, Carnivora, Felidae.
CCUAGCAUAGUGGUCCUGGAACCAUAACUGGUGAUGAAGCGUCUGUCAGCCUGGAGCCCUCAGCGAUUUCAAGGAGCAGAGCCCCCACUAAACACACACUGGACAGAUAAUGCAAGUGACCAGGAGCAGAUACUGAUGCCACAGGAAGAGCAGAGGGAGCUGGAGGAGUGAAGGCUGAGAGAGCGCACAGGUCAAGAAGACCUUCAUCUGAUGCAGAUGCUCCUUGCCAAACCAGUACAUUUCUCCAUGGGGCUAGGUGGCUGCAAUCCUAGCCAGGGUCAACUCUUGUUUAUGGAGAAUGGAAAACAGUGGACAGAAGAAGAUUAUCUGCGGAGGUGGAAUGGUGGAUUGCUUCUUCUCUGGGGCCACAUGAGAAGGCAAUUCCUGAGAGAGCAAUCAGACCAGAACAAAGUGCAUUCACCUUCUUGUUAACUGAUCAACAUCUGUUUCCAGAUGUUUCCCUGUGCUGGUUAUAUAGUUUGUGCUCAUUCAGAUGCAAAGCCUCUCUCCGUGUAGCUCAGCAGAUGCCAUCAACAGCUCUUCAGUCUGGUAGGGAUAGGCUCUGUCUGCAAGAGUCUCGUAACUGCAACCUAGCAAUGCUGGCACCAAAGUCAGAGUUCGGAACUCACUGCAAAAGGCACCCCCUCGGUGCACAGAUGAUGCAGCGGAUCAGUGUCUUUCUCACCAUGGUGACAGCAGUUGACAUGGAAACAGUUGUUCUCGCUUAUAUACAUAAUCAUUGCCCCUCACUCAGGCUUGCCAAAUGUUGAAAAUAUCUGUCUGCCCAGCAUUCAUUUCUUCCAUCUCUAGGAAAUGCACCAAGAUUAUCUUUUGGGAAAUCAUCUGGACUGAACAUCCAAACCACUUGUUUUGGAUAUUAUUUGUCCAAACUCAGCAUGUGACCAAUACCUGGUAAAACUGAGCCAUAGGAAUGUGUAACCAAGCCAUUCUGAGCCCAUGAGUGUCAGGUCCAGAUUUUGCUAGAACGAUUGGGAAAGUGACAGGGUUUUGCCUGACAUUAUAUGCUGAUGGAAAAGAAGCCUGUGGCGGCUGGAAGCUGUCUGUACCACCAGCUGUGUAGAACAUGCUUGAAAAUAAAGAAAAUUUAGAGGAAAAAAAGAGCUGAGGAGCUAAGAGAGACACAAUAUGCUGAUAAAAUAUGAACACCUGCAUGCAGCCUUACUUGAACUUAAAUACACCUUUUGACUUUUCAGGUAUAUGAACCAAUUUUCGCCCCUUUUGCUUAAGGAAGUUUGAGUUAGGCUUCUGUCACUUGCACCCACAAAAGUCCUGAUCAAUAUACAUGUUUUCUCCCUCUGUGGAGAUUUUCAUAGGAAUUGAGCAGAACUAGAGAUACACCUUUGAAAGUUUCAGCAUUUGAACAAUCUACACCUUUCUAGAAGCCCUGCUUCUGGAAAGAUAUCAGUUCAUCAGCACAUGACUAGUUGAUAAUUGCUACCUGCCAAGCAUUGUGUUGGACACCAUGGUGAGGAAGGAAGAAGCCAGCCAGGGGCCCUGUCCUCACAGAGUUUACAGCCUGGGCAGGAAGGCAGCAGUAAUACAAGUUAAAACUUAGAGCAGAAGUUCUCACCUUCAGGACCACAGCACACUGGUGAGUCACCAUAUAUUAUGAGGUAUGCCACAAAGAAUUUGUGACUCAUGAAGCUAAAGUACCAAUGUUAGCAGAUGAUUUAAAAAAUAAACAUGAAUUAGAGUAGAUUCAAGGUUAUCGCAAUAAUAAUGUCAUAUUCAUUCAUCUGGUUCUUCAGAAUGCUUUCCUGAGUGGAGAGAAAGGGUUGACAUAAUAGCUAACACCCACAUACCUGUGUCUCCGGGAGUGUACUGUUCUCAAGGAUGCUAUCCAACCUGUGUCCCCAAGCAAUGACAAUAAUAUCCAAGUGCAGGGGCAGAAGGAGUGGCAACAACAGGAGAAUUGCCCGCACUUAUUGUGCACUGUUUAGGCACCAGGUACUGUGCUGGGAGCAUUAGAAGGGCUGUCUCAUUUACUGUACAUGAGAAAGCUCUGAGUAAUUAUCCUCCCCGUCUGGCAGAUCAAAGAACAACCCAAUGCUAAACAGUGUGACUCAAGCACAACCGGUCUUCCG